This 253-nucleotide ribosomal RNA is filed under the name uncultured bacterium. Its description in RNAcentral is "partial 16S ribosomal RNA". It matches the Rfam family "Bacterial small subunit ribosomal RNA", at positions 524 to 776 of the family's 1533-position model. The record is from RNAcentral.
UACGUAGGAUGCAAGCGUUAAUCGGAAUUACUGGGCGUAAAGCGUGCGCAGGCGGUUAUAUAAGACAGAUGUGAAAUCCCCGGGCUCAACCUGGGAACUGCAUUUGUGACUGUAUAGCUAGAGUACGGCAGAGGGGGAUGGAAUUCCGCGUGUAGCAGUGAAAUGCGUAGAUAUGCGGAGGAACACCGAUGGCGAAGGCAAUCCCCUGGGCCUGUACUGACGCUCAUGCACGAAAGCGUGGGGAGCAAACAGG